Non-coding RNA from Arachis ipaensis, 152 nucleotides. The record is from RefSeq and is a predicted model, not a curated record. Lineage: Eukaryota; Viridiplantae; Streptophyta; Magnoliopsida; Fabales; Fabaceae.
AUUUCUUGGUGAUGAAAAUCUUCAUUUUAAGGACUUUGUUUUUGAGGAGCCAUGUGAAGCUCAGACUCUCACAAGUCAAGAAGGUCUUCAGACUCCCAAUGUGAGUAGUCAGCGCUUGUCUGUUGGGAUGACACCCAAAAUUCUUAGGCUGC